Molecule: ribosomal RNA, 717 nt
Filed under: Phyllactinia roboris
Lineage: Eukaryota; Fungi; Ascomycota; Leotiomycetes; Helotiales; Erysiphaceae
Description: eukaryotic LSU rRNA
Rfam family: Eukaryotic large subunit ribosomal RNA
Source: RNAcentral
AGUAACGGCGAGUGAAGCGGUAAUAGCUCAAAUUUGAAAUCUGGCUCCCUGCGGAGUCCGAGUUGUAAUUUGUAGAAGAUGCUUUGGGUGCUCGGCCUGGCCUAAGUUCCUUGGAACAGGACGUCAUAGAGGGUGAGAAUCCCGUAUGCGGCCGGCGUCGACGCCCGUGUAAAGCUCUUUCGACGAGUCGAGUUGUUUGGGAAUGCAGCUCAAAAUGGGUGGUAAAUUUCAUCUAAAGCUAAAUAUGGGCCAGAGACCGAUAGCGCACAAGUAGAGUGAUCGAAAGAUGAAAAGCACUUUGGAAAGAGAGUUAAACAGUACGUGAAAUUGUUGAAAGGGAAGCGCUUGCAACCAGACUUGGGCGUCGCUGAUCAUCCAAAGUUCUCUUUGGUGCACUCGACGACGUACAGGCCAGCAUCGGUUGGGGUGGUGGGAGAAAGGUUGUUGGAACGUGGCUCUUUUCGGAGAGUGUUAUAGCCUGCAACGCAAUACCGCCUACCCCGACCGAGGACCGCGCUUCGGCUAGGAUGCUGGCGUAAUGGUUGUAAGCGACCCGUCUUGAAACACGGACCAAGGAGUCUAACAUCUAUGCGAGUGUUUGGGUGUGAAACCCAUGCGCGGAAUGAAAGUGAACGUAGGUGAGAACCCUUCGAGGGGGCAUCAUCGACCGAUCCUGAUGUCUUCGGAUGGAUUUGAGUAAGAGCAUAGCUGUUGGGA